Molecule: ribosomal RNA, 443 nt
Filed under: uncultured bacterium
Lineage: Bacteria
Description: partial 16S ribosomal RNA
Rfam family: Bacterial small subunit ribosomal RNA
Source: RNAcentral
CCUACGAGAGGCAGCAGUCGGGAAUAUUGGGCAAUGGAGGAAACUCUGACCCAGCAAUACCGCGUGAAGGAUGAAGGUUUUCGGAUUGUAAACUUCUGUUAUAAAGGAAGAAAAAUAUGACGGUACUUUAUAAGUAAGCCCCGGAAAACUAUGGGACAGCAGCCGCGGUGCUAAAGUGGGGGCAAGCGUUGUCCGGAAUGACUGGGUGUAAAGGGUGUGUAGGUGGCUUAUUAAGUGAGAGGUAAAAGCCAGAAGCUCAACUUCGGAACUGCCUUUAACACUGGUUGGCUUGAGUGUGGGAGAGGUUAGUGGAACUCCUAGUGUAGCGGUGGAAUGCGUAGAUAUUAGGAAGAACAUCAGAGGCGAAGGCGACUAACUGGAACAUUACUGACACUGAAACACGAAAGCGUGGGGAGCAAACAGGAUUAGAUACCCUGGUAGUC